UCAACCAAAAAGGUUUAGCCUUCCAUGUGGAGGCAAAACAAAAGAAUUACAAGAAAAAAAGAAACUAAGAAAACCCUAUGAAACUCCCUCCUUUCUCCUUGAUGCUUGUGUCCUUUUAUAGGCCUUUAUGCUCCAGGGAUCUUGGAAAAAUAUUGUAGUCUAGAUUUUGUUAACAAUUUCAAAGUUUUUGACUUUUCAGAAUUCUUGUAUUUUGCAGAAGAUUUGCUUCCAAUUCUGUUUCUGAGAUAUUGUAGCUUUUAUUUUCUCUUUCUUCUCCUCAAAAUUUGUUUUCUGUUUUGAUUAAAAAAGCAACUUUGACUUUUGCAUAUUUGGCCCAUUCACUAAGGUAGACACUUCUUUCAGACCAUUUACUCUAAAAACACAAAAUUAACAAAAAUAAUAGUUAAAGCCCAAAUAAACUCAAUUAUAUGAAUAUUAAUUAAAAAAAUUUAUUUAUUUAUUAUUAUAGUUCAAUAAUCCAUGAUUAAAGCUAUUGAGUGUGAAUAAAUAUAUGCUCAUCAAUGAUAUACUUGAGAAUUGACUCAACAUCUAUGUCACUUGAACAAUAAGCCACAACUUGAACUAUAUAACAUGUCACUUGGACAACCAACACAUUUCUUAAGUGAUAUAAGACAAUAAGUGUAAUGAUUACAUCACUUAGGUCUCUCUUGAGUGUCAAGUGACCGUAAAGCAACCCCAAAGGGCUCAAACAAAGGAUAUUCUCAAAGAUUUCCAAAUUGUAUGUGGAUUCUUACCAUCCCAUGUCCAUCAAAGAGUUAUUUUAAGACUUAUAUCCAACAAUGUAUCAUCACAACAACUCUACAACUCUUCUAACAUGCAUAUAUUUUACAUAAUAUCAACCUCCAUGCAUUACAUACAACUAACAACUAUCAUAUUGUAAAAAAUUGACAUAAUAACUCCCCUUGUCUAGAUUGAAGUAUGCUCUCAUAACAACCAAUACUUGAUCAUUUUUCCUAAGACUCUAAUGAAUCUAGAGAAGUUCUCAAAACAUCAUUUUAUAUGAGCAAACAUUUCCUCUAAAUCAUUCAUACAAGUAAAGAAGAAGAGAAGAAAAAAAGAGAAGACAAAAAGAUAAGAAAACUCAUAUAUGAUUGAGGUUACUUACCAAGACUAACUUCUCAUCAAUCCAAAACAAUUAGUACCUUACUAACUCCACAAAACCUCAAUCUAGUAAAGAAUCUAUAAUUAAAAACUCACUUAUAUCUGUCGAAAAUGACAACUUUUACCAUAGCCGUUGUUUUAUAUCUUUCAAAAGGGUCUAAAGUGGUGGCUUUUACCAUAGCCGUUGUUUUAUAUCUCUCAAGAGGGUCUAAAACAACGCCUUUUUACCAUAACUGACAAUUUAUAUCUUUCAGGAGGGUUUAAAACAACGAAUAUUUACCAUAAUUGCCAUUUUAUAUCUUUUAUGAGGGUCUAAAAUGAUGAAUUUUACCAUAACUGCCAUUUUAGACUGAAUAUAACACGACAAUUAUAUAGUCGUAGUUUUUGCUUGAAGAAAAUAGACUACACGUUGAAAGACAGCGGUUCAAAAACUGUUGUUUUAAUGCUAAAAUGACUGUUGUGAUUUAGCUUUUUCUGUUGUCUUUGCUUAAAGAGAAUACACUAUCUUUGCUUGAAGAGAAUAAAUUACAUGCUAAAAGACAACAUUCCAAGAACCGUUGUUUUAAUUCUAAAAUGACCAUCGUGAUUUAGCUUUUCUGGACCAGUGAUGGUAAACUUUCUUUUUAGAGUGAUGGUGAUAAACAUCUAUCGAUUUGAAAUUGAAAGAGUUAGAAAGUAAGAAAAAAAACAUGAUAAAAAUAUUAAAUAAUAUCAUAGAAAUAAAAAUGGAAGAGAAAUGUAAAUAAAUUUAAAUAAAAAUUAGAUGUGAGAGUAAGUUAGUUUAUAUUGAUUUGUUUAGCGAUUUAAUAAUUGAAAAAGUCAAAUAAAAAAGAGUAAAUUAUAGUAAUAUUUGCUAAUAAUGUAAUUAGACCCAUGUUUGUUUUUUUUCUAUGCUAUACUUUAACUUAUAAUAAUCCUUUCCAUUAUUAUAAACUUUUUUAAAAUUACAUAACUUUUUUAAAAUUAUGCACUAAUAAUAGGCAUGGUCAUAAUAUUUUGUUAAUAUUUAUCUUAAUAUAUAGAUACACACACAUAAACAUUAUUCUAAUUGCAAUUGUAUCCUUAUUUAAUUGUAUAAUUUAAGUAUUAUAUAAUAUUAUGUUAACAUGUGAGAUUGAAUCUGUUUUAUAUGUUGUUACGUGUGGAUUAUUAGGAUGAUAAAAAAAUAUAAAAAGAGUAAACUGCAUGAUGUUAUUAUUUUGGAAAACUUUUCUUUUAACACUCGAAACAAAAAACAAACACUUAACAGCUCUUUUUAAUAAUAUAAUAAUAUUUUAAAUAAAAAAUAAAAUAAAAAUAUAAAAAUAUUAAUUUAUUAGAAUGUUAGGUGUAUGUAUUUAGUAUAGAUUCUUUUAAUAAUAUAAUAAUAUUUUAAAUUAAAAAAUAAAGUAAAAAUGGUUAAAAUAUGAACAUUAUUAGCAGCAAAGAACAGUGAAUAUAAGUGUUUUACUGUGACAGUGAAGGUGGAGUUUGGAGUCUAGAGGUUGUUGAGGACGAUGUUGGCGAGAUUCAAACCUUCACAUGUGGUGUCAUCAUCAGAGAUCUUGGAAGAAAAAGACCAAGAGAACCCUGAGGUGGCAGAGAACCCAACGCUCACCCACUCCGGAAGAAGGCUCUCGAGCUCCACUCUCUGAGAGACGAUGUAGUUCGUUGGCUGAGAAGGGUAAACCAGAGAAGCCACCAAGAGCUUCGUGGAGGACUCAUAGGUGAUCUGAACCUCCGCGUUUUCUCCGUUGACCAAUUCCCACGGCGUCGUUUUCAUAGACUCGAUGGAGUUCACGUCGAUGCCAAUAUGACGGCCUUCGGGGUCCCACUCCUGGUUGACGAAGGUGUCGAACUCCACAGCCACAGUAUGGGCUUUGCUGUUGUAUUUGUCGCUGUCGAAAAGACCUAGAAAACCGCCUUGCUUUGUUGGGAACGAGAGCAAAGCCAAGGCCAUCGGCGGCUUUUGCUUUGUUGGGAGCGUGGAUAUUGAAUUUGAAGUUUGUGGUGAAGCUGGCGACUUUUCCGGUGGCGCUGUCUUAGAUUUGGAUGGGGGCGGAGUAGAAGGCGCGGCCCAGAGAGGCCACCGUGGGUUCUCCGUUGCUAUUAACAUUGGUUAGUCGUAACUGGCCGGAGGAUGAGACGGAGGCAUCGCCUUGGAGGAUAAGGUUGGUUUCGUUGAACCUAUCGAAGCUGAAGGAGGUUUCGCUGGCUGAGUUUGCGUGGCUGAGAAGCACAAGGAAGAGGCUAGGUUGAGUAAGUUGGAGGAAGCCAUGUAUGCAUUCAUGCAUUAACCAUCACUCUCUUCUCUAUUUAUACAACAACAAAUGCAAAAUCUUUCCAACUUUUUUAUUUCAUUCUAUUAUUAAAUACGUGUUUUCGAAUGAUUAACUUUUUUCUUUUAUAAUAUUAUUUGAGAGAGAAAUAAGAAUAUUAAAAUAAGAAUUAAGCAACGAUUGAUUUUACAACGAUUCAACGUUUUGCUACGAUUCUUAAUUACAAUGUGUCGAUAACUCUUUUUAAGUAUUUGGGUAUGCUGGUAGGGGGUGUCAUUGGAGAGGUGCUUUUUGAGCGGACAAAAAUUCCAAAAAUCCACCAUUUAUUAUUAAUCUUUUUUAUUAUUUAGGUAUUUUUCAGGUAUUUUAAGGUUUUAGUUCUCACAGUUACCCUAAUUAGAAAAUUCUAAUUUUUUUUUCAUGAUUUUUUAGUUAUAAAUUAGUGAUAUAUCAAAACCCUAUAAAUUAGUGAUAAUUCAUAUUUUUCGUGAAGGGAAUGCGUGUGCUAAUAAGUUGGCUAAUUUAGGAUUUAUUCAUAGAGAAUCAUUUCAUUGGUAUAAUAGACUCCCAGCUAGUCUGUUCUUAGAAUUCUUUAUGAAUAGGUAUAAUCUACCUAUUUAUCGUUUUUGUUAACAUAUGGGUUUUGGUCUAGUCCCGUCAUAUUUUUGUAUUUUCUUUCUUUUUUCUUUUUUUUUAAUAAUAUUUUUUUUAUGUGAUGACAAAUGAUUGUUGUUACUUGAGGUGUCAGCUUAGCUGAGAUGUCAAGUUGCAUAGUGAUGCCUAACACGAAAACUUUAUAUAAAAAAAAACCCUAUGGACAUAUAUAUGUCAGAUUUGUUAGAAUUUGCAUAUGGAGAUCAUUGUAAGAGCAUGACUGGAAGCAAAUAAUAAUAUUUAACUUAUUCUUUAUAAUUUUUUAACACUAAUUAAUGUGAAUCCUUUUUCCCGCCAUAGAAUAUGUGAGAAAUGGGCCACGUAUUUCCUUAAUUUCUAUAACUCUAAGAUAAAUAAUCAAUAAUAUAGGAAUUAGAUAGAUAGAUAGGAAUAUAUAUGUUAUUAGUGUUUGUAAUACAUCUUUAUCAAUGUAUAUAAUUUGAUUAUCUGAAUAUAUGUAUCAGGGCUAACUUAGUUUUAAUUGUACAAGUCAAUUUAGAUAGGAUUAACAUUAAACAGAAUGAACUAAACAAAAAAUUCUCAUUUAAAAUGGCGGCUUUUACCAUAACUGCCAUUUUAUAUCUUUCAAGAAGGUAUAAAUGACGACUUUUUAUCAUAACCGUCAUUUUAUAUCUUUAAGGAGGAUCUAAAACGGUGACUUUUUACCAUAACUGUUGUUUUAUAUCUUUUAAAAAGGUCUAAAACGACGACUUUUACCAUAAUUGCUGUUUUAGACUGAAUAUAACACAACGAUUAUAUAAUCUCUGUCUUUGCUUGAAAAGAAUAGACUAUAUGUUGAAAGACAACGCUACAAGAACCGUUGUUUUAAUACUAAAAUGAUCGUCGUGAUUUAAUUUUUUUCAUCAGUAAUUGUAAAGUUUCUUUUUAGAGUGUUGAUAAACAUAUAUCGAUUUGAAAUGAAUAGAGUUAGAAAGUAAAAAAAAAAUACAAGAAAAAUGUUAAAUAAUGUCAUAGAAAUAGAAAUGGAAGAGAAGUGUAAAGAAAUUUAAAUAAAAAUUAGAUGUGAGAGUAAGUUAGUUUAUAAAUUGAUUUGUUUAAUGAUUUAAUAACUGUAAAAAUCAAAUAAAAGUAAAUUAUAGUAAUAUGUACUAAGAUUUAAUGUAAUUACACCCAUGUUUCCUUUUUUUUUCUCUGUUAUACUUUAACUUAUAAUAAUCCUUUCCAUUAUUAUAAACUUUUUUAAAAUUACAUAUUUUUCAAAUUAUGCACUAAUAAUAUAAUAAUACACAUGCUGAAUAAUACGCAGUGUAAAUAUAUGAGCUCCUAUUUUAUUUAUGCUCCCAUUUGUGACAGAUGAAGAUUAUUAGCAGGAAAGAAGAGUGAGAGUGAGUAUAAGCAGGGUUUUACUGUCACAGUGAAGGUGGUUUUUGGAAUCUAGAGGAUCUUGUUGAGGAGGAUGUUGGCGAGAUUCGAAUCUUCAGAUGUGGUGUGACAGGAGAACUUGGAAGAAAAAGACCAAGAGAGCAGGUCGUGCGUUUCACUGGACACGUUAGAUGACCCUGAGGUGGAAGAGAACCCAACGCUCACAUUUAAUAAUAAUAUUAUGUGAUACCUCACAAUUAUUUAUCUUAUUAAUUGAUCAAUUACCAUAAUUAUCCUAUUAUAUUAUUGGUAAUUACUAUUAUCAUAAAUAAUUAGGGUUUCUUCUUGGGUGUAUUAUAAAUAGAGAUUACCAGACAACUAAAGAGACACUCUUAUAUUCUAACAUCACACGGUCGAAACUCAUUCCCUAAAGGGAUUUUCGAGCCUCUCAUCUCUUUGUCUCUCUGCUCACAUAAUUCCAUUUUAAGCGAUACACUCUAAAGGGAAACCCGAUCAAGAUCAUGUCUUCGUCCCUCAGCCAUGCGAUCACGGGUUUACCAAGUAUUAUCUAAUCAUUAUUCUCGUUUCAUUAUAUGAUUGAGGAAUCCUAAUCCAACAUGUGGUAUCAGAGUCAGGUUUAUGUUGUUUAAUCGAUUCUUCUUUUGUUUUCCCUAAAUUUGGAAGAAACGAGGAUUUUGAUUCAACCUAUUGAUUUUCGAUGUUUUUAUUUUGGUAUAUUAUUGAACCACUUAUUUUCGAAAAUCCACCUUGAUAUCAUAAAAUAAAUUUUAAUUUUUUCGAGAUCCAUAAUUAUUUUAAGAUUUUGAAAAUUAAAAUUUAAUAUUAAUGUUAUGUGUUCUUCAUAAUUUUCGUGAGUAUUCCCUUAUUUGGAAUGGAAUUAAUUUUGAUUAUAUGUUCAUCAUCAUUAUUUGUUGUUCGUAUGAAUUUUUGAAAAUUAUGAAUAAAGAAUUUUCAAAAAUUAAUUAUUCCCUUAAUUAGGAAAUUUUGAAAAUAAUAUUUUUCCUUAAUUCAAAUUUUCGAAAUACAAUUGAUUCCCUUAAUUAGGAAUGGAUUUGAUUUGAUUUGAUUGUGUUUUUCUAAAAAAAUAAAUAAAAAUUGAUAUCUUAGUCUCCACGUUUUUCCUUAUUUAGGAUAGUAUAUUCUUGCCUUAUUAAUUUUCGGGUAUUAUUAUUAUUAUUACUAUUUUCGAAAAUAGCAGUCGUGUCAAACUUGGAAACAUAUCAAUCUAAUUAAAAUUUUGAAGACCAAAUCUAAAAUCAAAUCCUUAAUAUUCCGCUACUCACUUAUCGAGUUUACGAGUAACAUAUUUACGCGUUUCCUUUUAUUUAUCGAAUUAAAUAUGGUAAAUCUCAUGAUACCGUAAUUAUGUUUUAAAAAAAAUACUUAUUUUGUUAAACUCUUAAAACAAAAAUAUUAAGUUUGACAAAAUUAAAAUUAAAUUUUUUGCUUAAACUUAAUAACAGGAGUCUCCCUUCUGUCCAACGAUGAUGGGUUAUGUCUUGUUAUUUUAGUCUAAUUAAGCACCUUCACUUACUUGUGAGUACACUUAAUUAUUAAAUAUUCGCAUGACAUUUGCCUAAAAACACAAUUAUUUCUUAUUUCUAUUCUGUCCAACGAUGUUUGAUGCACUUGUGUUUUGCAAACUUAAUAUGUGCAUAAGCUUAAAUGUUCAAUUCUGUCCAAAGAUGAUGUGUCACAUUCUUAUUGCACAUACCUUACUUAUAAUUGUUCAUUAUUCUUAAAUAAUUGGUAAUUAACCAAAGUGAAAGCUGAUUGUUUAAGUAGAACCUAAUCUAGUCUAUUAUUUUGAUGUUAUAAUAGAUUUUAUCACAGCUUCAUUAUCAUAAUGGUUCUUACUUAUGCCUGCUUUAGAUCUAAGUUUCCAAAUGUCACUCUAACUUUUUCCUUAGCCUAAGUAUCUUAAUUCGUCGUCUAACCAGCCCCUAAUAUGGAAAUUGAGACCUUGACUGGUGAAAAUCAUUCUUCUUGGAAAGAUUCCUUGAUGCUNNNNNNNNNNNNNNNNNNNNNNNNNNNNNNNNNNNNNNNNNNNNNNNNNNNNNNNNNNNNNNNNNNNNNNNNNNNNNNNNNNNNNNNNNNNNNNNNNNNNNNNNNNNNNNNNNNNNNNNNNNNNNNNNNNNNNNNNNNNNNNNNNNNNNNNNCAAUCAUUAGAGGAGGCAUUCCUGAUUCACCUAACGCUAAGGCUUAUCUAGCUUCUGUGGAGGAACAAUUUCAAGGAACCUCUAAGGCUCAUGCUAGUACUCUUAUCUUGAAGUUGGUGACUACAAAAUAUGACGGGCGCACCGGCAUUCGUGAACACAUCCUGAUGAUGAGCGACAUGGCCCGUAAACUUAAGGGAUUAGCCAUGGAGAUCAGUGAAGGUUUCCUAGUCCACUUCAUUAUGACUUCUCUUCCUUCUGCGUUUGAAGCCUUCAAAGUCAACUAUAAUACUCAGAAGGACAAAUGGUCCAUGAGUGAGUUGAUUGCUAUGACUGUUCAAGAAGAAGAGCGCCUGAAGUUGGAGAAACCAGAUGUUGCUUACCUCGUGGCUGCUGAGUCGAAGAAGCGGAAGGGCAAAUUCCAUAAAAAGGAAUCUAAUAAGGUCCCUAAAACUGAUGCAAGUGCACCCUCCAGCUCUAACAAAUUCACUAGCAAGUUCUACUGCAAGUUCUGCCGCAAGGUAGGACAUAAGCAGUCUGAGUGCUCAAGCUUUAAGGAGUGGUUGGCUAAGAAAGGUAAUCAUCUAAAUAUGAUAAUUGAGUCCUUUAAUUUAAAUGUUCCAACUAAUACUUGGUGGUUUGACUCUGGUUCUAUGGUUCAUGUGACCAAUUCAAUCCAGGGAUUCCUUACAAUCCAGAAGCUGGAAAGAAACCAAAGAACACUUAAGAUGGGGAAUGGACAAGAACUAUUUGUCGAAGCUGUCGGAAUCUUAGAAUUACUUAUGAAAACUGGAAAAUGUAUUAAACUUUAUGAUACCUUAUAUAUUCCCGAAAUUACUCAGAAUCUUGUAUUAGGACCAAAGUUAGACAUUGAUGGUUUUUAUGUUUCCCAUGGUCAUGGCAAACUUACUAUUUCUUUAAAUUCUCAAUUGUUUGGUACUGGUUUUCUGGAUAACGGUCUCUAUAAGUUAGAACUAGAUGAUAACUUCUCCAAAUCUUUGUUAUCAUAUAAUAUUAAUGAGAACUUAACAAAGACCAAGAGAAAACGAGACUUAGAAACUUCAUCCAUGUUGUGGCAUCAACGUUUAGGCCACAUUUCACGAGAUCGCUUAUCUCGACUUGUGAAGGAUGAAGUCUUACCAUCUCUCAAUUUCACUGAUUUUGGAACAUGUGUCAAAUGCCUCAAAGGCAAAAUGACAUCCACGACUAAGAAAGGCAAAAUGACAUCCACGACUAAGAAAAAAAAAUACAAGAAAAAUAUUAAAUAAUGUCAUAGAAAUAGAAAUGGAAGAGAAGUGUAAAGAAAUUUAAAUAAAAAUUAGAUGAGAGAGUAAGUUAGUUUAUAUUGAUUUCUUUAGUGAUUUAAUAACUGUAAAUAAGAAAGAGUAAAUUAUAGUAAUAUUUACUAAGAUUCAAUGAAGUUACACCAAUGUUUCCUUUUUUUAAUAUGUUAUACUUUAAUUUAUAAUAAUCCUGUCCAUUACUAUAAAAAUUUUAAAAAUUACAUAUUUUUCAAAUUAUGCACUAAUAACACGCAUAUAUGGUCAAACAGAAUAAACUAAAGCAAAAAAUUCUCAUUUAAAAUAGCGGCUUUUAUCAUAACGGUCGUUCUAUAUCUUUGAAGAUGGUAUAAAAUGAUGAGUUUUUAGCAUAACUGCCAUUUUAUAUCUUUCAGGAGGAUUUAAAACAACGAUUUUUUAGCAUAAUUGUCGUUUUAUAUCUUUAAAAAAUGCCUAAAAUGAAGACUUUUACCAUAAUCGUUAUUUUAGACUGAAUAUAACACGACGAUUAUAUAACCGUUGUCUUUACUUAAAGAGAAUGGACUUCAUGCUGAAAGACAGCGGUAUAAGAAUCGCUCAUUCAUGCUGAAAGACAGCGGUAUAAGAAUUGCUCAUUUAGUGCUGAAAUGACCGUUGUCAUUUAGCUUUUUUGCACCAAUAAUUAUAAAGUUUAUUUUUAGAGUGGUGGUGAUAAACAUAUAUCGAUGUGAGAAUAAGUUAGUUUAUAUUGAUUUGUAUAGUGAUUUAAUAACUGUAAAAGUCGAAUAAGAAAGAGUAAAUUAAAGUAAUAUUUUCUUAUGUUUAAUGUAAUUUAAACCAAUGUUUUUUUUUUCUAUGUUAUACUUUAACUUAUACUAAUCCUUUCCAUUAUUAUAAACUUUUUAAAAAUUACAUAUUUUUUAUUUUUCAAAUUAUGCACUAACAAUACGAAUAUGCAUGGUCAAUAAUACGCAGUGUAAAUUGUGUAAAUAUAUGAGCUCCCAUUUUAUUUAUUUAUUUUAGUUUGUGUGACAAAUGAACAUUAUUAGUAGCAAAGAAGAGUGAAGAGUGACUAUAAGUAGCGUUACCAUGAGACUAUGUUACUAUAUGAGACUAUGAGGUAAUAUGGCCUGAAAAAUGUUGAAGGAACUUGUCAAAGACUCAUAGACAAAGUCUUCAAGGGGAUUGGCCGGAACAUAAGGGAAAUGGUCGGAACGAUUUACGUGGACGACAAACUCAUGUGCCCAACACAUAAAGAUUUGAAAGAACUCUUUGAAGCUAUUAGGCUAUGAUGUUCAGACACUUCUCUUAAAUGAUGUGUCGGUGGUAGAUACUCAUAUCGGACACCGACAUUCGUAUGACACUUGUAGGACACGUAUUCGUGAAAUGUCCAAUUCAAAAAGUAUUUGUUGGAUUUUUGACAAUUUUAAUACAAUUCUAACAGAAUUUUAAAAAGGAAAAAUACAUUAAUUUUCUAAAAACUCAAACUUAUUGUAUAAAUUUUUAUUAUGAUUAUAAAAAUAAGAAACAAAUCAUUUUGAAGUAGUCAUGAAAAACAUUUUUUUCUCUUUUCUCCAAAAAACAAUCUGUAACAUACUUGUGUACAUAAAUCUUUAUUAUCAAUUUAUAUAAUUUAUAAUUAUAUAAUAUAUAGAUUCGUGUUUUCAUAUCCUACAUUUUAAAUAUUUAUUUUAAAUAUUUUCCGUAUCUUUACGUUUGUGUCCUUGUUUUAUCGGUGUCCGUGUUAUACAGCUCUUAAGUGAAUGAACAUGCGGCUAAAUCCUGAAAAGUUUGCGUUCAGGAAUAUAAGUUAUUGGGUUUAGGGUUUAAUCUCGAGAAAUGUAGGGCGAUAGAGAUAACAAGAUGAUCAAAAAUACAAAAAAAAGAAGAAGAGUAAAAUAGAGUAAACUCCAUUAUGUUAUUAUUUUGGAAAACUUUUCUUCAACAGUCCAAAGUUUGGAGUAAAAAACAAGCAUUUGACAGCUCCUUUUAAUAAUAUAAUAAUAUAUGAGCUCCCAUUUUAUUUUCUGUGACAGAGAAACAUUAUUAGCAGGAAAGAACACUGAGUGAAAGCAGUGUUUUAGUGUCACAGGGAAGGUGGAGUUUGGAGUCUAGAGGAUUUGGUUGAGGACCAAGUUGGCGAGAUUCAAAGCUUCAGAUGUGGUGCCAUCGGAGAGCUUGGAAGCAAAAGACCAAGAGAGGACGUCGUUCGUUUCAACGUUCCCUUUAGUAAUCCCAGUGGUGGCAGAGAACCCAACGCUCACCCACUCGGGAAGAACGCUCUUCAGGUCCACUGUGUCAGAGACGGUGAAGCUUGUUUUCAGAGAAGGGUAAACCAGAGAAGCCACCAAGAGCUUCGUGGAGGACUCAUAG
This 11166-nucleotide long non-coding RNA is filed under the name Phaseolus vulgaris (common bean). RNAcentral's name for it is "long non-coding RNA (PVUL_LNC003696)". The record is from RNAcentral. Lineage: Eukaryota; Viridiplantae; Streptophyta; Magnoliopsida; Fabales; Fabaceae.